RNAcentral lists this ribosomal RNA (604 nucleotides) under uncultured bacterium. RNAcentral describes it as "bacterial SSU rRNA". It matches the Rfam family "Bacterial small subunit ribosomal RNA", at positions 331 to 929 of the family's 1533-position model. The record is from RNAcentral.
CCAGACUCCUACGGGAGGCAGCAGUGGGGAAUAUUGCGCAAUGGGGGCAACCCUGACGCAGCCAUGCCGCGUGAAUGAAGAAGGCCUUCGGGUUGUAAAGUUCUUUCGGUAGUGAGGAAGGCAUUUAGUUUAAUAGACUAGGUGAUUGACGUUAACUACAGAAGAAGCACCGGCUAACUCCGUGCCAGCAGCCGCGGUAAUACGGAGGGUGCGAGCGUUAAUCGGAAUAACUGGGCGUAAAGGGCACGCAGGCGGUGACUUAAGUGAGGUGUGAAAGCCCCGGGCUUAACCUGGGAAUUGCAUUUCAUACUGGGUCGCUAGAGUACUUUAGGGAGGGGUAGAAUUCCACGUGUAGCGGUGAAAUGCGUAGAGAUGUGGAGGAAUACCGAAGGCGAAGGCAGCCCCUUGGGAAUGUACUGACGCUCAUGUGCGAAAGCGUGGGGAGCAAACAGGAUUAGAUACCCUGGUAGUCCACGCUGUAAACGAUGUCGAUUUGGGGGUUGAGCUUUAAGUUUGGCGCCCGUAGCUAACGUGAUAAAUCGACCGCCUGGGGAGUACGGCCGCAAGGUUAAAACUCAAAUGAAUUGACGGGGGCCCGCACAAG